GGGAGAAUGACAGAGUGGUCUAUUGUGAUUGUUUUGAAAACAAUUGUACAUUUUGUACCGUGGGUUCGAAUCCUACUUCUCCUU
RNAcentral lists this transfer RNA (84 nucleotides) under Paravannella minima. RNAcentral's name for it is "tRNA-Ser". It matches the Rfam family "tRNA". Rfam says of the family: Transfer RNA (tRNA) molecules are approximately 80 nucleotides in length. Their secondary structure includes four short double-helical elements and three loops (D, anti-codon, and T loops). Further hydrogen bonds mediate the characteristic L-shaped molecular structure. tRNAs have two regions of fundamental functional importance: the anti-codon, which is responsible for specific mRNA codon recognition, and the 3' end, to which the tRNAs corresponding amino acid is attached (by aminoacyl-tRNA synthetases). tRNAs cope with the degeneracy of the genetic code in two manners: having more than one tRNA (with a specific anti-codon) for a particular amino acid; and 'wobble' base-pairing, i.e. permitting non-standard base-pairing at the 3rd anti-codon position. The record is from RNAcentral. Lineage: Eukaryota; Discosea; Flabellinia; Vannellidae.